ACGGGUGAGUAAUGCUUAUCUAACUUGCCAAUUAGUGGGGGAUAACCCUGGGAAACCAGAGCUAAUACCGCAUUUGUUGCUUCGGCAAUGAAAGGGAAUCGCAAGAUUCUCGCUAAUUGAUGGGGAUAAGUCGUAUUAGUUAGUUGGUGGGGUAAUGGCCUACCAAGACAAUGAUGCGUAGCCAGUCUGAGAGGAUGAAUGGCCACAAGGGAACUGAGACACGGUCCCUACUCCUACGGGAGGCAGCAGUGAGGAAUUUUCGGCAAUGGGGGCAACCCUGACCGAGCAAUACUACGUGAAGGAGGAAGGUCUACGGAUUGUAAACUUCUGUUAGUGCGGAAGAAGGGUUGAGUGCAAGUUCAACUUUGACGGUACGCACAGAGAAAGCCACGACUAACUACGUGCCAGCAGUCGCGGUAAGACGUAGGUGGCGAACGUUAUCCGGAAUCAUUGGGCGUAAAGGGUGCGUAGAUGGCAUGAUAAGUUAUUAGUGGGAAAUCGAGGCUCAACCUCGUGGAAGCUAGUAAUACUGUUUUGCUUGAGUGCAGAAGAGGUUAACGGAACUCCAUGUGGAGCGGUAAAAUGCGUAGAUAUAUGGAAGAACAUCAAUAACGGCGAAGGCAGUUAACUAUUCUGUUACUGACAUUGAGGCACGAAAGCGUGGGGAGCAAAACGGAUUAGAUACCCGUGUAGUCCACGCCCUAAACGAUGAGUACUAGAUAUUGGGAACUUGAUUCUCAGUGUCGCUAGGUAACCCGGUAAGUACUCCGCCUGGGUAGUACGCUCGCAAGAGUGAAACUCAAAGGAAUUGACGGGGACUCGCACAAGCAGUGGAGCAUGUGGUUUAAUCCGAUACAACGCGUAGAACCUUACCAAGGCUUGACAUGUUGGGCAAAGCUAGGGAAACCUAGUGGAGGUUAUCCUAACACAGGUGCUGCAUGGCCGUCGUCAGUUCGUGCCGUGAGGUGUAUGGUUAAGUCCUAUAACGAACGCAACCCUUGGGCUUAGUUACCAGCAUUCAGUUGGGGACUCUAAGC
This 1037-nucleotide ribosomal RNA is filed under the name uncultured bacterium. RNAcentral describes it as "bacterial SSU rRNA". It matches the Rfam family "Bacterial small subunit ribosomal RNA", at positions 102 to 1145 of the family's 1533-position model. The record is from RNAcentral.